UCACAGUGAUGAAUGGUCCAAACAUUCGCGGUUUCCACCAGAAUUGACUUGUGUUGGUGUAAACUUCCUUGGAUGUCUGAGUGA
Molecule: small nucleolar RNA, 84 nt
Filed under: Procavia capensis (Cape rock hyrax)
Lineage: Eukaryota; Metazoa; Chordata; Mammalia; Hyracoidea; Procaviidae
Description: Small nucleolar RNA SNORD14 (ENSPCAG00000019704.1)
Source: RNAcentral